GGCGAGCCAAAUCAAAGGUAACCAUGGGUCAACUUUGGCCCGCGGGCUCUAUAUUGGGGAUCUCUGCACUGGAGGAAGAGUAAAAAGUGGGUAAAUCUUUAUUUUGGGUGACAUAUCGCUUAAUGUUAAUAAUAGAAACACCACAUGUGUGUGUACCUGUGAGCGGGUCUGCAGCUGGAUAUGUCUCCCACCACCCCCUGCAGUGCUGAAGCUGAUCUCCGGUGGAGUAGCAAUGGAGUUUAUUUUUCGCUACAUUUUAAGCCACAGGUAAAGAAAAUAGCGAGGAAGAAGAGAAAACGACGCUAUUUGUCAGUCUAGCUACAUGUAUAUGUGCUGCCGAAGCAAGCACGAACUAGGAGCCUGGAGAACUGCUAUAUAAACCCGGGACUUCUGGGCAUGCGCGGACCUUCCCCCGCCGCAGACCAGAGGACAACAUGCUCAGACGCCAGCAAACGGCCCAUCGAAACAUUCACAGACUCUCGGAGGCUAAAGAAGAUCUCGAAAGACCUGAAAAGCUGAGAUCAAAGCAGCCAUUGAACUCACAGCCGAAGAAACGUUCAAGCUAAUGUGAAGGCUAGUGCUUCAGCUUCAUGUGCUGAGUAACAUUCUCAGGCGUAGCGUAGCGUAUUUUUAAUGCUUUAAAUGAGGUUUAGUUGCACCGAAAUGAGUCGUAAUGAUGAAUAUUUCUCAACUAUAUCUUACUUAUACACUCUUUUAUCUGCAUAGCUUAAAAGAGGGGUAUUUCUAUCAAAAAAUGAAAGUUUACUCAUCAUUUACUCCACCGUUAACCCAGCUUGAGUUUCUUUUUUGUAGUUAAGCACGAAAGAAAAUGUUAUGAAGAAUGCUGGACAUGGGUAGCAAUUGAUAUCUAUGGAGGAAUGAAAUUCCACACAGAAAGCUACACAGGAAGGAUGCAUUUAUUUAAUUUAAAAAUAAAGCAGUAAUACUGUGAA
This is a non-coding RNA of Danio rerio (zebrafish), 953 nucleotides long. The record is from Ensembl. NCBI's taxonomy places the organism in Eukaryota, Metazoa, Chordata, Actinopteri, Cypriniformes, Danionidae.